ACCUGUUGCUUUGUGCCUCAGUUCCUAGCAGAUAGUGGACCAGUACCAAGUAGCCUGAGGUUGGAAAUCCUCUCUUAGGAGUUCAAAGGAAUAACUGCUCAUGAGAAUCCAGAAAGAUUUCUGAGAUCACCUAACAGGCAAAACCCUCCAAAGAAAAAGCCAUUGCUGCAGCCUGGAUGCUGAAUGUCCGCCAAGGUCCACGUGUUAAAGACUCGGUCCCGAAAGGCACACUAUUGGGAGGAUGACAAGAACUGAGUUCACAGCCAGAAAAGCAGGCAAGCAAAGGUGCUACAGCUGGGUAGUGCUCAGAGCCGGACCCCUCACCUUGGAAACUCGGGCAGUGGAUGGAUUUUAGGCUCAAGCACCUUUCAUAAAUUCUUUGUCCAACCAAGUAAUCUCACGGCAUUCAUUUCUGUGUUUCCUUCACAGUCCAGCUAAGAGGUGCAUUGCUCCAGUGACAUCUGACUUAGCUCCUGGCACCUGCUAUUGCAUUGGACAACUAAAACCUCUUGCAAAUAGAGCAAGCCCCCGGGCACUCCUGUCAGUAGGCACAAACGUGC
Chinchilla lanigera (long-tailed chinchilla) is the source of this 560-nucleotide long non-coding RNA. RefSeq lists it as uncharacterized. NCBI's taxonomy places the organism in Eukaryota, Metazoa, Chordata, Mammalia, Rodentia, Chinchillidae. The transcript has 3 exons. The record is from RefSeq and is a predicted model, not a curated record.